GGGGAGCUUACAAUGCAGUCGAGGGGCAUCGGGAGGGAAGCUCGCUUUCCUUGCCGGCGACCGGCGCACGGGUGAGUAACACGUAUGCAACCUGCCCUCUUCAGGGGGACAACCUUCCGAAAGGGAGGCUAAUCCCGCGUAUAUCGGUUUCGGGCAUCCGAGAUCGAGGAAAGAUUCAUCGGAAGAGGAUGGGCAUGCGGCGCACUAGCUUGACGGCGGGGUAACGGCCCACCGUGGCGACGAUGCGUAGGGGUUCUGAGAGGAAGGUCCCCCACACUGGUACUGAGACACGGACCAGACUCCUACGGGAGGCAGCAGUGAGGAAUAUUGGUCAAUGGGAGAGAUCCUGAACCAGCCAAGCCGCGUGAGGGAAGACGGCCCUAUGGGUUGUAAACCUCUUUUGUCGGAGAACAAAACCCGGGACGUGUCCCGGACUGCGUGUAUCCGAAGAAAAAGCAUCGGCUAACUCCGUGCCAGCAGCCGCGGUAAUACGGAGGAUGCGAGCGUUAUCCGGAUUUAUUGGGUUUAAAGGGUGCGUAGGCGGUCCGUUAAGUCAGCGGUAAAAUUGCGGGGCUCAACCCCGUCGAGCCGUUGAAACUGGCAGACUUGAGUUGGCGAGAAGUACGCGGAAUGCGCGGUGUAGCGGUGAAAUGCAUAGAUAUCGCGCAGAACUCCGAUUGCGAAGGCAGCGUACCGGCGCCAGACUGACGCUGAGGCACGAAAGCGUGGGGAUCGAACAGGAUUAGAUAC
RNAcentral lists this ribosomal RNA (750 nucleotides) under uncultured bacterium. Its description in RNAcentral is "bacterial SSU rRNA". It matches the Rfam family "Bacterial small subunit ribosomal RNA", at positions 44 to 785 of the family's 1533-position model. The record is from RNAcentral.